UGAUCACCUCUAUUGUUGCUUUU
This 23-nucleotide microRNA is filed under the name Anolis carolinensis (green anole). Its description in RNAcentral is "Aca-Mir-1720_5p (mature (guide))". The record is from RNAcentral. Lineage: Eukaryota; Metazoa; Chordata; Lepidosauria; Squamata; Anolidae.